GAUGAAGAACGCAGCGAAAUGAGAUAAGUAAUGUGAAUUGCAGAAUUCAGUGAAUCAUCGAAUCUUUGAACGCACCUUGCGCCUUUUGGUAUUCCGAAAGGCACACCUGUUUGAGCGUCAUGAAUACCUCAAUCUCCAUCUUUUCUUCGGAUUGAUGGGUGACUUGGAUGUUGAGCCCUGCUGGUAUGCUAUAUCAGCUGGCUUUAAACUUAUUAGCCGGCUCUGUACUGGAUCGGUUUGACUCGACGUGAUAAUAUUAUCGUUGAGGAUGCAUGUCUCAUGCAGCCGGAAAGUAUCAAAGCAGCUUCUAGCUUGCCUUUAGUGCACUUUUACAUUUUAGACCUCAGAUCAGGUGGGACUACCCGCUGAACUUAAGCAUAUCAAUAAGCGGAGGA
This 395-nucleotide unclassified non-coding RNA is filed under the name soil metagenome. RNAcentral describes it as "partial contains 5.8S ribosomal RNA, internal transcribed spacer 2, and large subunit ribosomal RNA". The stretch from base 1 to 120 matches the Rfam family "5.8S ribosomal RNA", at positions 35 to 154 of the family's 154-position model. The record is from RNAcentral.